UGACAUUUCUUCAACUUCCCAAGAGACCUACACCUGCGAGGUACACUCAUAUACAAGGCUAUGCAUAUUUCAAGUCAAGUAGCAGCUCUUUUGUCACACUUGUUCUGCACUAAGCCCAGCAGGAAAUCAGUAAAAAUGUGCUCAUAGUCUGGCAUUUUCCCGUAACCAGGAAAGUAGUUGAUGUCAAUCACAUAGAAGACAUCUUUAGUCCUGUGCUGACGAAUCAUAUCUAUGUUGAACAAUUGGAGGCCCAGUCGACAACGAAGCUCCCUUGCAAGCCUCUCCAACAAAGGGCGUGGAGGAAGUUCACCAACAGAAGGGUCCAAAUCUGCAUCAUCUGCAGAAGCUGCGGCAGAUGAAACUCUUGGAAAACGGAACACACCCGCAACUUUUGCUAGCUCAUGCUUACUGACAUUAGGUAGAGAGAAACGCCGAACAACCUUUAUGGCUU
This 451-nucleotide unclassified non-coding RNA is filed under the name Hevea brasiliensis (rubber tree). Lineage: Eukaryota; Viridiplantae; Streptophyta; Magnoliopsida; Malpighiales; Euphorbiaceae. The record is from RNAcentral.